AGAACGAACGCUGGCGGCAUGCCUAACACAUGCAAGUCGAACGUGAUCCAGGCUUCGGCCUGGUGAAAGUGGCAGACGGGUGAGUAACGCGUGGGAACCUGCCCUGUGGUAGGGAAUAACCGUGGGAAACUGCGGCUAAUACCCUAUGAGUCCUUCGGGAGAAAGAUUUAUCGCCAUAGGAGGGGCCCGCGUCGGAUUAGGUAGUUGGUGAGGUAAUGGCUCACCAAGGCGACGAUCAGUAGCUGGUCUGAGAGGAUGAUCAGCCACAUUGGGACUGAGACACGGCCCAAACUCCUACGGGAGGCAGCAGUGGGGAAUAUUGGACAAUGGGGGCAACCCUGAUCCAGCCAUGCCGCGUGAGUGAUGAAGGCCCUAGGGUUGUAAAGCUCUUUUGUGCGGGAAGAUAAUGAUGGUACCGCAAGAAUAAGCCCGGCUAACUUCGUGCCAGCAGCCGC
Molecule: ribosomal RNA, 455 nt
Filed under: uncultured bacterium
Lineage: Bacteria
Description: SSU rRNA
Rfam family: Bacterial small subunit ribosomal RNA
Source: RNAcentral